Molecule: ribosomal RNA, 464 nt
Filed under: uncultured bacterium
Lineage: Bacteria
Description: bacterial SSU rRNA
Rfam family: Bacterial small subunit ribosomal RNA
Source: RNAcentral
CCCAGACUCCUACGGGAGGCAGCAGUGAGGAAUAUUGGUCAAUGGGAGGAAUCCUGAACCAGCCAUGCCGCGUGCAGGACGACGGCUCUACGAGUUGUAAACUGCUUUUGUACCGGGGUAAAAUGCCUUACGAGUAGGGUUUUGAAAGUACGGUACGAAUAAGGAUCGGCUAACUCCGUGCCAGCAGCCGCGGUAAUACGGAGGAUGCGAGCGUUAUCCGGAUUUAUUGGGUUUAAAGGGUGCGUAGGCGGAAUAUCAAGUCAGCGGUAAAAAUUCGGGGCUCAACCCCGUCGUGCCGUUGAAACUGAUGUUCUUGAGUGGGCGAGAAGUAUGCGGAAUGCGUGGUGUAGCGGUGAAAUGCAUAGAUAUCACGCAGAACUCCGAUUGCGAAGGCAGCAUACCGGCGCCCAACUGACGCUGAAGCACGAAAGCGUGGGUAUCGAACAGGAUUAGAUACCCGAGUA